This 468-nucleotide ribosomal RNA is filed under the name uncultured bacterium. RNAcentral describes it as "partial 16S ribosomal RNA". It matches the Rfam family "Bacterial small subunit ribosomal RNA", at positions 28 to 507 of the family's 1533-position model. The record is from RNAcentral.
GACGAACGCUGGCGGCGUGCUUAACACAUGCAAGUCGAACGGUGAGGCCCUGCUUUUGUGGGGGGCUCGAGUGGAGAACGGGUGUGUAACACGUGAGUAACCUGCCCUUGACUUGGGGAUAACUUGAGGAAACUGGGGAUAAUACGGGAUAGGAGCUCAUCCCGUGUGGGGGGGUGGGGAAAGUUUUGGCGGUUGGGGAGGGACUCGCGGCCUAACAGGGUGUUGGGGGGGUAGUGGCUUACCAAGGCGGUGACGGGUAGGCGGCCUGAGGGGGGGACCGGGCCACAUGGGGCUGGGGCACGGGCCCAGACCCUUCCGGGGGCAGGAGGGGGGAAAAUUGCCCAAAGGGCGGAAGGCUGAUGCCGCCAAGCCGGGGGGGGGAUGACCGCCUUCCGGGUGUAAACCUGUUUUCGCAGGGAAGGAGCCAAAGUGACGGUAAAUGGAGAAGGAGCACCGGCUAACUACGGU